Long non-coding RNA from Tigriopus californicus, 1535 nucleotides. RefSeq lists it as uncharacterized. The record is from RefSeq and is a predicted model, not a curated record. The transcript has 3 exons. NCBI's taxonomy places the organism in Eukaryota, Metazoa, Arthropoda, Copepoda, Harpacticoida, Harpacticidae.
GAACGUAAUGUCAGAGGGUGAACAACACGUGGGUCUUCCUCGUUUGGUCAAGGGUGCGUCUUGGCUCUUCUUUAUUAGUGACAGUUGCUAAUAAAUCGACGGUAGGAUCUUACGAAUAUAUUCCAAAGUGCUAUCAUGUGGGCAUGGAUGGUGACAGCCAGGAUAAAUCGUGGCAAAACACCGCAGACAAAACCACCUCGGUCUGGUGGGCGAUCGUGGGAUUGGUCAUCCAUCUCUGCAUGCAACUUUGAGAUGUGGCUUCGACCUUCGACUGACACUAAUAUUAUUGAAACUACAUUGAACUAAGUACGUCACUAGGAAAAUGGAAGAAUCCCCCAAAACAGUCGAACUUAUUGAUUGCUCAAUAAAAGAAAACGAAUCGAGUUCUCUUCCGUAAUUUGCUUGAUUAUUGGGAAAAACUUGGUUUUUGGAAUUUUCAAUAGUACAAAUCAUUGCUCAAUAAGGAUCCCUAUGCCCUCCAAAAGAAGGGGUGUGCGGAAAUGGUUUUAUACGUCGUUUCUAAGGCUGUCUCGCCUUCCAAACUUCAAGCCGUUGCGAAAUGUGCGUUCUUUUCAAAAGUUUGAUAUGGGCGGCACGUAGAAAAGUUCUUGGAUUGUUCAAUCACAUGAUUAGUUAAGGUCGAACGAUAAACAAUGUUGUUCCAGUUAAUCGGAGUGGUUUUAUUUGGAGCUCAACAAAUUCAUGGAUCGACUUUGCUGUUAGCCCCAUCUUUCAUAAAGGCAAAAUUUUGGAAAGUGACAAAGCAGGAGCAGAGUGGAACAGAUAUAUCUUGUGUAAUGCGUUGCAAAUCCACAAAUUGUCAAGGAGUGGCUUUCAAUCGAGCUCAGAGCCUUUGUCUAUACGGAGGCUUCCAAGCCGAUCCAACAACCCUUGAGGGUGAAGAACACAUCGAAGUUUGGAUAUUGGGUCAGUUGAGAGUGGGGUAGACGUGAAACCAUUAAUGUAACCCAAUUUGUCUUGGCACAGGACCAUUGGAAACUUAUUUCAUUACAGAGGACACUCGGAUUGCCACCAUUCCGCCCAAUGAUUGCCGACUUUAUCCUGAUUGGAUCAGCAAACCCAACGGAAAAAGAUACUUCUUCACAUCUGAGUAUAUGCCCUGGUAAGAUCAAAAAGAAUUUUGCGAAUCCCGACAGGCUCGAUUGGCGACGGUCAAAUCCAAUGAGGAUGAGUAGAUUGUUUUUGAACUCACAGCCGGAUACGAAACUUGGCUGGGUUUGACCAAUCGUGCCGGUGAAAGAUGUGAGAAUGAAUCAUGCAAUGGGAAGUUAUUUUGGAGCGAUGGUUCAAUGUUUCAAUAUGAUCAAGCAAUUUACUCCAAGCCCAUGAUAUCGGAUUGGGCAAACUUUUGCCUUCGGCUCCGGAGUAAAGAUUAUAACGACAAAGAAUGUUCCGAUUCUAAGGCUGGAUUGUGCGAAGUCGUUUGCUCUUAGUCUGAACCGUCGUCCAUUCAUUACUGCAAUGUGUAAGAAAGUAGAAAUAUUUCAACCUUCAAUAAAUUCCCCAUCUUUCAA